CGACUUACGUUGAAAAGUGAGCGGAUGAACUGAGGGUAGCGGAGAAAUUCCAAUCGAACCUGGAGAUAGCUGGUUCUCUCCGAAAUAGCUUUAGGGCUAGCCUCAAGUGAUGAUUAUUGGAGGUAGAGCACUGUUUGGACGAGGGGCCCCUCUCGGGUUACCGAAUUCAGACAAACUCCGAAUGCCAAUUAAUUUAACUUGGGAGUCAGAACAUGGGUGAUAAGGUCCGUGUUCGAAAGGGAAACAGCCCAGACCACCAGCUAAGGUCCCAAAAUAUAUGUUAAGUGGAAAAGGAUGUGGCGUUGCCCAGACAACUAGGAUGUUGGCUUAGAAGCAGCCAUCAUUUAAAGAGUGCGUAAUAGCUCACUAGUCGAGUGACACUGCGCCGAAAAUGUACCGGGGCUAAACAUAUUACCGAAGCUGUGGAUUGUCCUUUGGACAAUGGUAGGAGAGCGUUCUAAGGGCGUUGAAGCAUGAUCGUAAGGACAUGUGGAGCGCUUAGAAGUGAGAAUGCCGGUGUGAGUAGCGAAAGACGGGUGAGAAUCCCGUCCACCGAUUGACUAAGGUUUCCAGAGGAAGGCUCGUCCGCUCUGGGUUAGUCGGGUCCUAAGCUGAGGCCGACAGGCGUAGGCGAUGGAUAACAGGUUGAUAUUCCUGUACCACCUAUAAUCGUUUUAAUCGAUGGGGGGACGCAGUAGGAUAGGCGAAGCGUGCGAUUGGAUUGCACGUCUAAGCAGUAAGGCUGAGUAUUAGGCAAAUCCGGUACUCAUUAAGGCUGAGCUGUGAUGGGGAGAAGACAUUGUGUCUUCGAGUCGUUGAUUUCACACUGCCGAGAAAAGCCUCUAGAUAGAAAAUAGGUGCCCGUACCGCAAACCGACACAGGUAGUCAAGAUGAGAAUUCUAAGGUGAGCGAGCGAACUCUCGUUAAGGAACUCGGCAAAAUGACCCCGUAACUUCGGGAGAAGGGGUGCUCUUUAGGGUUAACGCCCAGAAGAGCCGCAGUGAAUAGGCCCAAGCGACUGUUUAUCAAAAACACAGGUCUCUGCUAAACCGUAAGGUGAUGUAUAGGGGCUGACGCCUGCCCGGUGCUGGAAGGUUAAGAGGAGUGGUUAGCUUCUGCGAAGCUACGAAUCGAAGCCCCAGUAAACGGCGGCCGUAACUAUAACGGUCCUAAGGUAGCGAAAUUCCUUGUCGGGUAAGUUCCGACCCGCACGAAAGGCGUAACGAUUUGGGCACUGUCUCAACGAGAGACUCGGUGAAAUCAUAGUACCUGUGAAGAUGCAGGUUACCCGCGACAGGACGGAAAGACCCCGUGGAGCUUUACUGUAGCCUGAUAUUGAAAUUCGGCACAGCUUGUACAGGAUAGGUAGGAGCCUUUGAAACGUGAGCGCUAGCUUACGUGGAGGCGCUGGUGGGAUACUACCCUAGCUGUGUUGGCUUUCUAACCCGCACCACUUAUCGUGGUGGGAGACAGUGUCAGGCGGGCAGUUUGACUGGGGCGGUCGCCUCCUAAAAGGUAACGGAGGCGCUCAAAGGUUCCCUCAGAAUGGUUGGAAAUCAUUCAUAGAGUGUAAAGGCAUAAGGGAGCUUGACUGCGAGACCUACAAGUCGAGCAGGGUCGAAAGACGGACUUAGUGAUCCGGUGGUUCCGCAUGGAAGGGCCAUCGCUCAACGGAUAAAAGCUACCCCGGGGAUAACAGGCUUAUCUCCCCCAAGAGUUCACAUCGACGGGGAGGUUUGGCACCUCGAUGUCGGCUCAUCGCAUCCUGGGGCUGUAGUCGGUCCCAAGGGUUGGGCUGUUCGCCCAUUAAAGCGGUACGCGAGCUGGGUUCAGAACGUCGUGAGACAGUUCGGUCCCUAUCCGUCGUGGGCGUAGGAAAUUUGAGAGGAGCUGUCCUUAGUACGAGAGGACCGGGAUGGACAUACCUCUGGUGUACCAGUUGUCGUGCCAACGGCAUAGCUGGGUAGCUAUGUGUGGACGGGAUAAGUGCUGAAAGCAUCUAAGCAUGAAGCCCCCCUCAAGAUGAGAUUUCCCAACUUCGGUUAUAAGAUCCCUCAAAGAUGAUGAGGUUAAUAGGUUCGAGGUGGAAGCAUGGUGACAUGUGGAGCUGACGAAUACUAA
This 2122-nucleotide ribosomal RNA is filed under the name Staphylococcus aureus. Its description in RNAcentral is "partial 23S ribosomal RNA". It matches the Rfam family "Bacterial large subunit ribosomal RNA", at positions 780 to 2904 of the family's 2925-position model. The record is from RNAcentral. Lineage: Bacteria; Bacillati; Bacillota; Bacilli; Caryophanales; Staphylococcaceae.